RNAcentral lists this long non-coding RNA (286 nucleotides) under Homo sapiens (human). RNAcentral describes it as "HSALNT0107038". The record is from RNAcentral. Lineage: Eukaryota; Metazoa; Chordata; Mammalia; Primates; Hominidae.
CCAGGGAAUGUGAUGGUGGAGCCUGGAAGCUUGGAGACACCAGGAACCACAGAGCUCCAAAGAGGGUGUCACAGCCAUGGCUCAGAGAGCAACAAGGUCUGGGCUCCCCGAAGGGCCGCAGCUCUUCUCUCCUUCUCGCUUCUCAUCACCUGCAAUGUGGAGAGUAAGGGGCGUGUUUCAGCCCUGCUUGCGUUACAGCUCUUUCAGCCCCAUCAUUCAGCAGAUCCCGAGCUCUUGUCCAGCAUCCAGGAAGACUGAGCAAAAGUGGGCAUAAAUACAUUAAGGA